CCUAAAACACUGCUAAAUAGCACUCAGCUCUCUUCCUUUAAUUAUGUGCGUAAUGAAGCUAAUUUAAACAGCAGCCAGCAGCCCGGAGACCCCAGUGCGGUGCUGUGCCCCGUCCCGCUGCUACCAGAGGACUUUUUUCAGGUUAGCUGCUCACCCAACUAAGGAUGCGGGAUGCUCGCCGGCCCCCGAGCACCACCUGCCGACAUGAUGCCUUAAAACAACCCACGGUCGGGAACGUGCAGCCCUUGCCCAGAAGGGGAACGAAGACAUAGGAAGGAUCGCUGGGAUCUUCCGUGGGUCGGUUCUCCCUUUCCCUGUGCUCCCACCAGACCUUGAGAUAAGGGGAUAUUUCAUCGCUGCCUCGCAGAUGCUGCCCAUCAAAGCUCCACUUGUGCCAUGGCUGGAAUCACUCAGGAAAAUUUGGAGAUGGGCUCAGGCUCUUUUUGAGUCCUCACAGGGAAGACUUUGGUCCUAGAACAGCAGCCUGUGUUCAUACAGUCACUGGAGGAGUAUUAAAGUACGUUCUGGAACAAGCCAAGAGUUGGGGCUGAGGUGCCCCAACAGCUGAGUCUCCAACUAUUCAUCUGCAGGUUAAGUCAUCCCAUUUCAUUGAACUGGAGGAGACUAAUGUGAGUGUGUGAAAGCUUCCAGCAAUUCCUUACCUCUUUGUUUUCCCAGCAAAACAUGGAGAUGAUUUGGUUGUUCUCCACACCACCACCUACACGGGACAGCAGCAUGUGAAACCUGCUGGCUGACAGACCGCACUUAGCAGCGGGUAACGCUCUUUUGAUAUCAUCCUAUUUGACUUUUCUACUCUGUUUUCUACUUCAGUUUCAGCACAGAGGUGGAGUUGGAGACCCAAGGAGCAGGAGAUCUCACCUACACCACUAUUUGGGUAGAGGAGGACAGGGAUGUUUGUAGCACUUCCCCUGCUGGAACACACUGAGUUGCUGGAGAACAUCCCCACCUAUAUGAGAACCUGAGCAUAGGAUCCUUGCAAGGGCUCAAAGCACAAAAAGCUGUUGGAAAUGCUGCUUGCUUCCCCCCCGGACAGCCCCUCCACCAGCAGCACUCAGUGUGAGAGCCCAUUUUACCUCUUGGAGAGGAGAUAAUUAUUUCUUGUCAGUUAGGCUCAAUCACCAAGCUCCGACCAGCUGGUGGUCUAUCACCACUUAGCCUCAUUUACCGCCAUGAUAGCCUUUUAGCUGCUCCACAUUUCACAGGUUCUCUGCCAUUGUGCUCAUAAAUUCCCCUUUAAAAAAAAAAAUCAUAAAAAUUUAUGAGGGAGGGGGGUGGGGGAAAAAAAAGGGCAUAAAACAGAGGCAGCAUAGAGAAAAGGUACUAAAAUUUCCAGCUGAAGAUGAGGUUGCUUACCCCCAGCUGUGUGAAGUGCAGUGAUUGAGGGGCUGGCUGAUGAGGGUUGAUUGCCUUCCUCCUGCUCCUUGCCCCCAUUAAGGGAGAAGUGCAUCCUCCCUCUGGGUGCACUGAUUAACAGCAGUGCCAGGAGAGACCUGGGAACAAGAGCAUCUUCUGCACUUUGAUGAGAUCCAUGGGUUUUCCUGAGCCUUGUGAAUGAAAAUAAAGGGGGCUGUAGGAAAGGGGACA
Molecule: long non-coding RNA, 1605 nt
Organism: Coturnix japonica (Japanese quail)
Lineage: Eukaryota; Metazoa; Chordata; Aves; Galliformes; Phasianidae
Source: Ensembl